UACGUAGGUGGCAAGCGUUAUCCGGAUUUACUGGGUGUAAAGGGCGUGUAGGCGGGAAAGCAAGUCAGAUGUGAAAACCGUGGGCUCAACCUGUGGCCUGCAUUUGAAACUGUUUUUCUUGAGUACUGGAGAGGCAGACGGAAUUCCUAGUGUAGCGGUGAAAUGCGUAGAUAUUAGGAGGAAUACCAGUGGCGAAGGCGGUCUGCUGGACAGCAACUGACGCUGAGGCGCGAAAGCGUGGGGAGCAAACAGG
This 253-nucleotide ribosomal RNA is filed under the name uncultured bacterium. RNAcentral's name for it is "partial 16S ribosomal RNA". It matches the Rfam family "Bacterial small subunit ribosomal RNA", at positions 524 to 776 of the family's 1533-position model. The record is from RNAcentral.